UACGGAGGGUGCGAGCGUUGUCCGGAAUCACUGGGCGUAAAGGGCGCGUAGGCGGCCCGAUAAGUAGGGGGUGAAAUCCUGCGGCUUAACCGCAGGGCUGCCUUCUAAACUGUCAGGCUUGAGCACAGUAGAGGCAGGUGGAAUUCCCGGUGUAGCGGUGGAAUGCGUAGAGAUCGGGAAGAACAUCAGUGGCGAAGGCGGCCUGCUGGGCUGUUGCUGACGCUGAGGCGCGACAGCGUGGGGAGCAAACAGG
RNAcentral lists this ribosomal RNA (253 nucleotides) under uncultured bacterium. Its description in RNAcentral is "partial 16S ribosomal RNA". It matches the Rfam family "Bacterial small subunit ribosomal RNA", at positions 524 to 776 of the family's 1533-position model. The record is from RNAcentral.